RNAcentral lists this ribosomal RNA (253 nucleotides) under uncultured bacterium. RNAcentral describes it as "partial 16S ribosomal RNA". It matches the Rfam family "Bacterial small subunit ribosomal RNA", at positions 524 to 776 of the family's 1533-position model. The record is from RNAcentral.
UACAGAGGUCUCAAGCGUUGUUCGGAUUCAUUGGGCGUAAAGGGUGCGUAGGUGGCGCCGUAAGUCAGGUGUGAAAUUUCGGAGCUUAACUCCGAAACUGCAUUUGAUACUGCGGUGCUUGAGGACUGGAGAGGAGACUGGAAUUUACGGUGUAGCAGUGAAAUGCGUAGAGAUCGUAAGGAAGACCAGUGGCGAAGGCGGGUCUCGGGACAGUUCCUGACACUGAGGCACGAAGGCCAGGGGAGCAAACAGG